This 449-nucleotide ribosomal RNA is filed under the name uncultured bacterium. Its description in RNAcentral is "partial 16S ribosomal RNA". It matches the Rfam family "Bacterial small subunit ribosomal RNA", at positions 29 to 523 of the family's 1533-position model. The record is from RNAcentral.
AGCGAACGCUGGCGGCAGGCCUAACACAUGCAAGUCGAACGAAGUCUUCGGACUUAGUGGCGGACGGGUGAGUAACACGUGGGAACGUGCCUUUAGGUUCGGAAUAACUCAGGGAAACUUGUGCUAAUACCGAAUGUGCCCUUCGGGGGAAAGAUUUAUCGCCUUUAGAGCGGCCCGCGUCUGAUUAGCUAGUUGGUGAGGUAAAGGGUCACCAAGGCGACGAUCAGUAGCUGGUCUGAGAGGAUGAUCAGCCACAUUGGGACUGAGACACGGCCCAAACUCCUACGGGAGGCAGCAGUGGGGAAUCUUGCGCAAUGGGCGAAAGCCUGACGCAGCCAUGCCGCGUGAAUGAUGAAGGUCUUAGGAUUGUAAAAUUCUUUCACCGGGGACGAUAAUGACGGUACCCGGAGAAGAAGCCCCGGCUAACUUCGUGCCAGCCGCCGCGGUAA